UUGAUGUUCCGAGUCUUGGUUCCUGUUUUCUGGACUUUGGACUUGGUAGUUGAAUGAAGCCAUCAUCUUUUCCUAUCCCUCCUUCAAGGUUAUCCUCACUACAAUAACCCCAAUGGUUUGUAUGAUCAGAAUCAUCAGUAUCCUCUUCAGGGGUAGAGGAUUGUGAGUCGAGAGCAUCAAGAUUCUUAAUUAGAAGACCUUUUCCCUCCUGAGCUCGAUUCCCUAAAGGUUCACUCUCCAUGGUCAUCCUUUCAUCUGUCGCAUUUCCAUCACUUCUACCCCUCUUUCUUCUAGAUGGAAAAUGCUUCCUACCCUUGACAUAAUUACAUCUCAAGUUUCGGGGGAUAUCUUCUUCAGUCAUAAGCACGACAUCGCUUCCACUUCCACCAUCAUUAUUCUUUCCCUUGUAAACAGUGUCUCUCCUCCUCCUCCUCCUCCUCCUCAUCCUAUCUAAUUCCUUCAAUUUCACUUCUUCCACCACUUUCUCUUCCCCCAAAAUCCUAACAUCACUUCCACUGCUCUUAUCAUCAUAAAAAAUCUUUUUAGCAGUUCCUUUCCUUUUUCUAUUGAACAGCUUCCGGUGUACAUUUUCUCCCUCUUGCUCUUCAUCACCGCUACUGCUGCUAAUUAUAAUCAUUUCUUCAUCCCUCUUUUUCCCUUCAGUAGCGUUCAUUUCUUGAGAACCAUGGGCUCCCUUCCCUUUCUUCUCCAACUUGUGCUUUAUUUGAGCUUUUGUCCUCUUCACUACAGUGCUUCUCUUUUCUUCCAUAUUACCUGAAAAUAAAGAAAGCAAAGAUUAUAAACCCAAAUAGCAAUACAUAGAAAACCAGAAACUACCAUUGCUUGGUAAAAGCGACAAUGAUCAGGCAAACCAAUGAUAGACCUACAGACCUCCUAGAAAAAGAAACAAAUUAUGCAGAAGCUUAACUAUAGCUGCACUAUAAACUUCAACUCUAGCUAAAUAGUCCUUACCAUCAGGGUCUAGGAACACUAUUCUAAAAGGUGCAGGGGACAAGUCAUCUGCACAAACAACAAAAAUAAGAGAAAUUCUUUGCGUUCUAACUCAGCAAACCUCAUCCUAACUCCAGCUUAUACUAGAAAACUUUGAUUGUCAACCAUGAAACCAAAAUUUUCACUCAACAAAGUAUUGAAUUCCAUACAAACACACAGUUAUACACAGUAACAAUACUUUAAAGAUCAAAAAUACUAUUUUGGAGAAAAGAAAAACAAAGCUUUAAUGCCUCCUUAUAUUAAAGGAGGUUGUCCACUUUUAAUGAUCCUCUUCAUAAACUUACCAUUACACAUAUAAAUAAUUGUUUAGUUCAAUCAUCUACUAGCUAAAAAAUCUUAGACCAGAUUUGCCAACAGAUAAAGAUAAAAGAUAAAAAUAUCUUAGACCCAAAGGAGAAACAUGCUCUCAAAAUUCGAUACAGCUUCCUAGUGACUUGUGCAUCAUGGAAGUAAAUAUUGUGAAAAUCGAUCUUUUCUGGGGAAUUAAUUGUCUUUUUCAGAACCAGAGUACUUCACAAGCAAGCAUUUGACCUGAAAGCGAAAACCCAUGACAAAAAUGUUAACCAAGAUCUACUUUGUUCUUUUCUAUGAUAGCCCAUUGAUAUUGAUAAGAUCAAUCUACUUGCCCUGAUGACUUUCCAUUGCAGAUGAAGCCAAUAACAAACUAGCAUUUGGAAGCAAUACAUGGCCCUUUUGCAUUUACUAGCUCAAUAAUCUUAGACCAGAUUUCUCAAGAAAUAAAAAUGAAAAAUGACAAACAUAUCCUACAUAUCCUACACUACUGAGUAUUGACGUACCUUAUUUCUGAUAUGACGUGAAAAAGGCCUGAACACAAGCUUUCUGAGCACUGGAAAAUUAAGCACGUCUUCCAAGUUAGCCAAGUAGUUAAAGUAUCUGCCCCAAGAGCCAAGAAUGUCAUAUCUCUCAUAAUUAACAAGCACCAUUACCUUGGAAUUGGAUGAUUCGGUAAAGUCAGAAUCUGGUAAUGUAAGGCAUAUUUCCAUCUCAGUAAAAAGAUUAUCAAUUUCUUUUUGCCAGUCUUCUUUCUCCGGUGGGGUUAGAUCUUCGUCAUCAAAUCUGAAUUUUAAUAGCAGUGUAUUAGUAGGACCAUUGUCUUCAAAAGAAAAUGGAUUUUCCUUUGUCUGCUUAUCAUCCUUCAGCAUGGACCCCAGAAGAAUAUUCAUGUAAUCCACGUCUCUUUCUCUUCUCUUAGAGGGUUUAGUAUUCUACUGCCUUCCUUUUUCUUCUUUGGCACCUGAUCUGAUGAAUCAUAACUUUCACUCUCAGAAACAUGAAGGCAGCGCUUUCUUGAUGUUCCGAGUCUUGGUUCCUGUUUUCUGGACUUUGGACUUGGUAGUUGAAUGAAGCCAUCAUCUUUUCCUAUCCCUCCUUCAAGGUUAUCCUCACUACAAUAACCCAAUGGUUUGUAUGAUCAGAAUCAUCAGUAUCCUCUUCAGGUAGAGGAUUGUGAGUCGAGAGCAUCAAGAUUCUUAAUUAGAAGACCUUUUCCCUCCUGAGCUCGAUUCCCUAAAGGUUCACUCUCCAUGGUCAUCCUUUCAUCUGUCGCAUUUCCAUCACUUCUACCCCUCUUUCUUCUAGAUGGAAAAUGCUUCCUACCCUUGACAUAAUUACAUCUCAAGUUUCGGGGGAUAUCUUCUUCAGUCAUAAGCACGACAUCGCUUCCACUUCCACCAUCAUUAUUCUUUCCCUUGUAAACAGUGUCUCUCCUCCUCCUCCUCCUCCUCCUCAUCCUAUCUAAUUCCUUCAAUUUCACUUCUUCCACCACUUC
RNAcentral lists this long non-coding RNA (2800 nucleotides) under Coffea arabica (coffee). Its description in RNAcentral is "long non-coding RNA (CARA_LNC005830)". Lineage: Eukaryota; Viridiplantae; Streptophyta; Magnoliopsida; Gentianales; Rubiaceae. The record is from RNAcentral.